ACUCCUACGGGAGGCAGCAGUGGGGAAUUUUGCACAAUGGGCGGAAGCCUGAUGCAGCGACGCCGCGUGGAGGAUGAAGGCCUUCGGGUUGUAAACUCCUUUUGUAGGGGACAAUGAUGAUGGUACCCUGCGAAUAAGCCACGGCUAACUCUGUGCCAGCAGCCGCGGUAAGACAGAGGUGGCGAGCGUUGUUCGGAAUCACUGGGCUUAAAGGGCGCGUAGGUGGUAGUGCAAGUCUGGGGUGGAAUCCUAUGGCUUAACCAUAGAAUUGCCUUGGAAACUGUAUUACUUGAGUCAGUGAGGGGAGGGUAGAAUUCCUGGUGUAGCGGUGAAAUGCGUAGAUAUCAGGAGGAAGGCCUGUGGCGAAGGCGGCCCUCUGGCGCUGAACUGACACUGAGGCGCGAAAGCGUGGGGAGCAAACAGGAUUAGAUACCCUGGUAGUCCACGCCCUAAACGGUGGGCACUAGGUGUAGGGCUCGUAAGGGUUCUGUGCCGAAGCGAAAGCAUUAAGUGCCCCGCCU
RNAcentral lists this ribosomal RNA (521 nucleotides) under uncultured bacterium. RNAcentral's name for it is "bacterial SSU rRNA". It matches the Rfam family "Bacterial small subunit ribosomal RNA", at positions 335 to 874 of the family's 1533-position model. The record is from RNAcentral.